GAAAGAACCUGAAGUACCGCUGCUUGGAAUGUAACGUUGUUCUAUGUGACAAAUGUAAAUAUACUCAUUCUUUUUCUGCAUCGAAUUCAAGUCACAACGUUUUGUCUUUUGACAGCAUCACUAUGAACAAUUGUCCAGAACAUGAAAUUAGGAAAAUGCAUUGCAAGAAACACAACACAAAAACAUAUUCAUUAUUUUGUCAGACUUGCAAAAUUCUGAUUUGCGAAGAUUGCUUUGUUGAAAGUCAUUCGACAAACCAUAUAAAUACUAGUAUUGAUAUCGAUAAAUUUG
RNAcentral lists this long non-coding RNA (291 nucleotides) under Mytilus galloprovincialis (Mediterranean mussel). Lineage: Eukaryota; Metazoa; Mollusca; Bivalvia; Mytilida; Mytilidae. The record is from RNAcentral.